This 395-nucleotide ribosomal RNA is filed under the name Acanthosepion pharaonis. Its description in RNAcentral is "Sepia pharaonis partial 12S ribosomal RNA". The record is from RNAcentral. Lineage: Eukaryota; Metazoa; Mollusca; Cephalopoda; Sepiida; Sepiidae.
UUCUUUAUUUUAAAUUUUUUUUUAUUUAAGUAGUGUAAAUAUAAUUUAUUAAUUAAUAUUAGUAUUUGAAACUUAAAAAGCUUGGCGGUGCUAUAUAUCCAUUUAGGGGAGCUUGUUUAUUAAUUUGAUAAUCCUCAAUUAACUCUUACUUUUUUUUGAAUAUUUAACAGUUUGUAUAUUGCUGUCGUCAGUUUAUUUCGUGAGAAUUUUUAAAAAACUUAGGAGUAGAUUUACUAGCAUGUCAAGUCAAAAUGCAGCUAAUAGGAAAGGUGAAAUAGAAUGAGCUACGAUUUAUAAUUUUAAAUUGGAUUAAAUAAUGUAAAUGUAUUUUUGAAAUUGGACUUAAUAGUAAGGUAAAGAAUUAAAGGUUUAUAUGAAUCAGGUUUUAUAGCGCG